RNAcentral lists this ribosomal RNA (202 nucleotides) under uncultured bacterium. RNAcentral's name for it is "partial 16S ribosomal RNA". It matches the Rfam family "Bacterial small subunit ribosomal RNA", at positions 524 to 723 of the family's 1533-position model. The record is from RNAcentral.
UACGAAGGGGGCUAGCGUUGCUCGGAAUUACUGGGCGUAAAGCGCACGUAGGCGGCUUUCUAAGUCGGGGGUGAAAUCCUGGAGCUCAACUCCAGAACUGCCUUCGAUACUGGAGAGCUUGAGUCCGGGAGAGGUGAGUGGAACUGCGAGUGUAGAGGUGAAAUUCGUAGAUUAUUCGCAAGAACACCAGUGGCGAAAGGCG